GAUUCGUCACACUAUCAUUAACUGAAUCCAUAGGUUAAUGAGGCGAACCGGGGGAACUGAAACAUCUAAGUACCCCGAGGAAAAGAAAUCAACCGAGAUUCCCCCAGUAGCGGCGAGCGAACGGGGAGGAGCCCAGAGCCUGAAUCAGCAUGUGUGUUAGUGGAAGCGUCUGGAAAGGCGCGCGAUACAGGGUGACAGCCCCGUACACAAAAGCGCAUGUGCUGUGAGCUCGAUGAGUAGGGCGGGACACGUGGUAUCCUGUCUGAAUAUGGGGGGACCAUCCUCCAAGGCUAAAUACUCCUGACUGACCGAUAGUGAACCAGUACCGUGAGGGAAAGGCGAAAAGAACCCCGGCGAGGGGAGUGAAAAAGAACCUGAAACCGUGUACGUACAAGCAGUGGGAGCACAGGUUUACCUGUGUGACUGCGUACCUUUUGUAUAAUGGGUCAGCGACUUAUAUUCUGUAGCAAGGUUAACCGUAUAGGGGAGCCGUAGGGAAACCGAGUCUUAACCGGGCGUUAAGUUGCAGGGUAUAGACCCGAAACC
This 546-nucleotide ribosomal RNA is filed under the name Salmonella enterica subsp. enterica serovar Typhimurium. Its description in RNAcentral is "partial 23S ribosomal RNA". It matches the Rfam family "Bacterial large subunit ribosomal RNA", at positions 137 to 722 of the family's 2925-position model. Lineage: Bacteria; Pseudomonadati; Pseudomonadota; Gammaproteobacteria; Enterobacterales; Enterobacteriaceae. The record is from RNAcentral.